CUUUUAAAUAAGUAAGAGUUUGUGGUGGAUGCCUUGGGUCUGGAAGUCGAUGAAGGACGUGAUUACCUGCGAUAAGCCUCGUGGAGCUGGAUAUAAGCUACGAAGCGGGGAUUUCCGAAUGGGGAAACCUAACUAGAGUAAUUUCUAGUUGCUAUGCAAUGAAUACAUAGUUGCAUUUGCGAGACACGUUGUGAACUGAAACAUCUUAGUAGCAACAGGAAGAGAAAAUAAAUAAUGAUUCCAUUAGUAGCGGCGAGCGAACGUGGAAGAGCCCAAACCAACAUUAGUUGGGGUUGUAGGACUAUCUACAUAAAGUUACAAAUUUUUAUCAUAGCGGAAAUAGUUGGGAAGCUAUAGCACAGAAGGUGAUACUCCUGUACGUGAAAUGGUAAAAACUUUUGAUAGUAUCCUGAGUAGGGCGGGGCACGUGAAACCCUGUCUGAAUCUGCCGGGACCAUCCGGUAAGGCUAAAUACUAACCAGACACCGAUAGUGAACUAGUA
Molecule: ribosomal RNA, 502 nt
Filed under: Mycoplasma buteonis
Lineage: Bacteria; Bacillati; Mycoplasmatota; Mollicutes; Mycoplasmatales; Mycoplasmataceae
Description: bacterial LSU rRNA
Rfam family: Bacterial large subunit ribosomal RNA
Source: RNAcentral